AUGUACCACUCGUAGACUGCGGUUCCUCCACCGUCUGCACCCGGCUGGCGACUGCUCGCUCUGGUUCGUUAGGC
This 74-nucleotide small RNA is filed under the name Xanthomonas prunicola. Its description in RNAcentral is "sX9 sRNA". It matches the Rfam family "Xanthomonas sRNA sX9". The record is from RNAcentral. Lineage: Bacteria; Pseudomonadati; Pseudomonadota; Gammaproteobacteria; Lysobacterales; Lysobacteraceae.